CUCAGAUCAGGCAGGAUUACCCGCUGAACUUAAGCAUAUCAAUAAGCGGAGGAAAAGAAACUAACAAGGAUUCCCCUAGUAACGGCGAGUGAAGCGGGAAGAGCUCAAAUUUGUAAUCUGGCCCUUUCAGGGUCCGAGUUGUAAUCUCGAGAAGUGUUUUCCGCGCCGGACCGCAUACAAGUCUGUUGGAAUACAGCGUCAUAGUGGUGAGAGCCCCGUAAUUGAUGUGGAUGCCCGGUGCUUUGUGAUACACUUUCGAAGAGUCGAGUUGUUUGGGAAUGCAGCUCAAAUUGGGUGGUAAAUUCCAUCUAAAGCUAAAUAUUGGCGAGAGACCGAUAGCGAACAAGUACCGUGAGGGAAAGAUGAAAAGCACUUUGGAAAGAGAGUUAACAGUACGUGAAAUUGUUGGAAGGGAAACGCUUGAAGUCAGACUUGCUAUUCGGAAUUCAGCCGCAAGGUGUACUUUUCGAUUUGCAGGCCAGCAUCAGUUUUUGGGGGUGGAAAAGGGUGGAGAGAAGGUAGCAACCUUGGUUGUGUUAUAGCUCUUUACUGGAUUCAUCUUUGGGGACUGAGGAUCGCAGUGCGCAAUUUACUUUGCAAACCUUUCGAGGUUUUCGUACUUAGGAUGCUGGUGGAAUGGCUUUAAACGACCCGUCUUGA
Molecule: ribosomal RNA, 660 nt
Filed under: Glaciozyma watsonii
Lineage: Eukaryota; Fungi; Basidiomycota; Microbotryomycetes; Kriegeriales; Camptobasidiaceae
Description: eukaryotic LSU rRNA
Rfam family: Eukaryotic large subunit ribosomal RNA
Source: RNAcentral